This is a long non-coding RNA of Chiroxiphia lanceolata (lance-tailed manakin), 330 nucleotides long. RefSeq lists it as uncharacterized. Lineage: Eukaryota; Metazoa; Chordata; Aves; Passeriformes; Pipridae. The record is from RefSeq and is a predicted model, not a curated record. The transcript has 2 exons.
CAAAACUAUACACUCUAGUACAGCAUUUUUUACUGAUAAAAGAAAUGUAUUUAGCAUAAUUUCUUCAUGUUUGCAGGUCUGAUGCUCUCAAAUCCAUGCUUCAUAAAACAUAUGGCUUUUUCAGGAAAGAGUAUGUCUUUCCUGUUACUCUCUGGCAGACUCUACAAAAUGAAGAUUCAUGUUCUUAAUCACAGAGAUGUUUUUAAAGAGCUUCUGCUGUAACAAGUGACUCCCUCAGUGUCUGUAUAACACAAGAAAUGUUUCACCAAGGUUUCUUUGUUCAGAAAAUACUUAUCAAUGAGAAAUAAACUCUUUUUCUCUUUUGUUUCU